Molecule: ribosomal RNA, 486 nt
Filed under: uncultured bacterium
Lineage: Bacteria
Description: partial 16S ribosomal RNA
Rfam family: Bacterial small subunit ribosomal RNA
Source: RNAcentral
AUUGAACGCUGGCGGCAUGCCUUACACAUGCAAGUCGAACGGCAGCACGGGUGCUUGCACCUGGUGGCGAGUGGCGAACGGGUGAGUAAUACAUCGGAACAUGUCCUGUAGUGGGGGAUAGCCCGGCGAAAGCCGGAUUAAUACCGCAUACGAUCUACGGAUGAAAGCGGGGGACCUGCGGGCCUCGCGCUAUAGGGUUGGCCGAUGGCUGAUUAGCUAGUUGGUGGGGUAAAGGCCUACCAAGGCGACGAUCAGUAGCUGGUCUGAGAGGACGACCAGCCACACUGGGACUGAGACACGGCCCAGACUCCUACGGGAGGCAGCAGUGGGGAAUUUUGGACAAUGGGCGAAAGCCUGAUCCAGCAAUGCCGCGUGUGUGAAGAAGGCCUUCGGGUUGUAAAGCACUUUUGUCCGGAAAGAAAUCCUUGGCUCUAAUACAGUCGGGGGAUGACGGUACCGGAAGAAUAAGCACCGGCUAACUACGUG